This 178-nucleotide antisense RNA is filed under the name Cyanobacterium sp. HL-69. RNAcentral describes it as "iron-responsive regulatory antisense RNA". It matches the Rfam family "Antisense RNA which regulates isiA expression". The record is from RNAcentral. Lineage: Bacteria; Bacillati; Cyanobacteriota; Cyanophyceae; Chroococcales; Geminocystaceae.
GAUAACCAUAAAUAGUCAUCGCAUCAAGGGUGGGGUUAGUAACUAACCUGACGGUUUGGGUGGUAGAGUCAUACAAUCCUCCCCAAUACAUGGCUUUCCCUGCCAAAAGUAAAGCCCCAAAACCAAGAAAUAACAGAUGAUGUCCGAGGAUAAGUCCUAGUUUAGCAGGAUCAUCCCA